Molecule: ribosomal RNA, 2302 nt
Filed under: human gut metagenome
Description: bacterial LSU rRNA
Rfam family: Bacterial large subunit ribosomal RNA
Source: RNAcentral
UUAAGAUACUAAGAGCAUACGGUGGAUGCCUUGGCGAUAUCUGCCGACGAAGGACGUGACAAGCUGCGAAAAGCUGCGGAGAGAUGCAAAUAAUCGGCGACCCGCAGACAUCCGAAUGGAGAAAUCCGGCUGUGAUGAUGCACAGCCAUCCAUGCCCAAGAGCAUGAGAAGGGAACCGGGCGAACUGAAACAUCUAAGUAACCCGAGGAAAAGAAAUCAAACGAGAUACCCCAAGUAGCGGCGAGCGAACAGGGAAGAAGCCCAAACCGGUGAAGGAAACUUUACCGGGGUUGAGGACCAUCAGACCCGCGAAGAACUUUAGCCGAAACUGUUGGGAAACAGUGCCAAAGACAGUGAAAGCCUGGUAGGCGAAAAAGAGAAACGCGGAGAUGGCACCAGAGUACCGCGGGACACGAGAAAUCCCGUGGGAAACAGGGGGGACCACCCUCCAAGGCAAAACACAGAUAUCGACCGAUAGCGCAUAGUACUAUGAGGGAAAGGUGAAAAGCACCCCGGGAGGGGAAUGAAAGAGAACCUGAAACCGUAUGUUUACAAGCAGUCGGAGACCGCUUAAUAAUAAGGUCGACGGCGUGCCUAUUGAAGAAUGAACCGGCGAGUUACGAAGCCUGGCAAGGUUAAGCAGGAAAUGCGGAGCCGAAGCGAAAGCGAGUCUUAAGAGGGCGCAAGUCAGGAAGCGUAGACCCGAAACCACAGUGAUCUACCCAUGUCCAGGUUGAAACACAGGUAAAAAUGUGUGGAGGACCGAACCUAUAUCCGUUGAAAAGGGUUAGGAUGAGGUGUGGGUAGGGGUGAAAUUCCAAUCGAACGUGGAGAUAGCUGGUUCUCCCCGAAAUAGCUUUAGGGCUAGCCUCAGGGAAAAGAUUGCAGGCGGUAGAGCACUGAUCAGGAGAGGGACCUACCCGGUUACCAAACCCAGUCAAACUCCGAAUGGCUGCAAUCAUACCUGGGAGUCAGACUGCGACUAAUAAGGGCCGUAGUCAAAAGGGAAACAGCCCAGACCAUCAGCUAAGGUCCCCAAUGCCGUGCUAAGUGGCGAAGGAUGUGGCAUUUCAUAAACAACCAGGAUGUUGGCUCAGAAGCAGCCACCAUUUAAAGAGUGCGUAAUAGCUCACUGGUCGAGAGACGCUGCGCCGAAAAUGUCCGGGGCUCAAGCACGGAACCGAAGCUAUGGCAUGAUAGCAAUAUCAUGGGUAGGGGAGCGUUCUUAUAAGGAAGAAGCAUGACCGGAAGGACAUGUGGACGAAUAAGAAGUGAGAAUGCCGGUAUGAGUAUCGAAAAGAAAGGUGAGAAUCCUUUCCACCGAAAGCCCGAGGGUUCCUGAGCAACGAUCGUCGACUCAGGGUAAGUCGGGACCUAAGCCGAGGCGAGAAGCGUAGGCGAUGGACAACAGGUUGAAAUUCCUGUACCGGAUCAAGUCGAUCGAGCGAAGGAGCGACGCAGGAGGGCACAUGAUCGCGCGGCUGGAAGAGUGCGUCCAAGUGCGUAUGUUGCAGCAGAGGAAAACCCCUGCAGCUAAAAGCAGAGACAUGAUGGGGAGUUAAAGGAAACUUUGACGAACUCAUGGAUCCCACACUGCCAAGAAAAACUUCUAGCGAGACAAGAUCCGCCCGUACCGUAAACCGACACAGGUAGGCGGGGAGAGAAUCCUAAGGUGCGCGGGAAAACCCUCGUUAAGGAACUCGGCAAAUUGCAUCCGUAACCUAGGGAGAAGGAUGGCCCCCGGUCAGUGAAGAGCAGAAACGCUCAGAGCUAAAAGGGGCGGCAGAAAAGAGGCCCAAGCAACUGUUUACCAAAAACACAGGUGCCUGCGAAAGCGAAAGCUGAAGUAUAGGUGCUGACGCCUGCCCGGUGCCGGAAGGUUAAGGAGAGAAGUUAGCGAAAGCGAAGCAUCGAACUGAAGCCCCGGUGAACGGCGGCCGUAACUAUAACGGUCCUAAGGUAGCGAAAUUCCUUGUCGGGUAAGUUCCGACCCGCAUGAAAGGCGUAAUGAUUUGGGCACUGUCUCAACGAGGGACCCGGUGAAAUUGAAAUACCUGUGAAGAUGCAGGUUACCCGCGACUGGACAGAAAGACCCCAUGGAGCUUCACUGCAGCUUGAGAUUGAAUCCCGGUGACAGAUGCACAGGAUAGGUGGGAGGCGCCGAAGCAUUGCCCUAGGGCGGUGCGGAGCCGAUGUUGGGAUACCACCCUUCUGUUGCUGAGAUUCUAACGCGAGAGUAACGACCCUGGGACCCUCUCAGGCGGGCAGUUUGACUGGGGCGGUCGCCUCCGAAAGAGUAACG